CUAUACAUGCAGUCGAGCGAUGGAUUAAGAGCUUGCUCUUAUGAAGUUGGGGGCGGACCCCUGAGUAACACGUGGGUAACCUGCCCAUAAGACUGGGAUAACUCCGGGAAACCGGGGCUAAUACCGGAUUUGAUUUGGAACYYGCAUGGUUCGUUUUUGAAAGGCGGCUUCGGCUGUCACUUAUGGAUGGACCCGCGUCGCAUUAGCUUUUUGGUGAGGUAACGGCCUCACCAAGGCAACGAUGCGUAGCCGACCUGAGAGGGUGAUCGGCCACACUGGGACUGAGACACGGCCCAGAGUCCUAACGGGAGGCAGCCGUAGGGAAUCUUCCGCAAUGGACGAAAGUCUGACGGAGCAACGCCGCGUGAGUGAUGAAGGUUUAUCGGGUCGUAAAACUCUGUUGUUAGGGAAGAACAAGUGCUAGUUGGGUAAGCUGGCACCUUGACGGUACCUAACCAAAGAGGCCACGGCUAACUACGGGCCAGCAGCCGCCCUAAUACGUAGGUGGCAAGCGUUAUCCGGAAUUAUUGGGCGUAAAGCGCCGCGCAGGUGGUUUCUGGGGUCUGAUGUGAAAGCCCACGGCUCACCCGUGGAGGGUCAUUGGAAACUGGGAGACUUUUGUUGCAGAAGAGGAAAGUGGAAUUCCAUGGUGUAGCGGUGAAAUGCGUAGAGAUAUGGAGGAACACAGUGGCGAAAGCCACUUCACUGGUCUGUAACUGACCCUGAGCGCGAAAGCGUGGGGAGCAAACAGGAUUAGAUACCCUGGUAGUCCACGGGGUUUUACGAUGAGUGCUAGGGGAAAAGGGGGGUUUCCGCCCUUAARUGCUGAAGUUAACGCAUUAAGCACUCCGCCUUUUAAGUACCGGGGCAUGCUGAACUCAAGAAAUGGACGGGCCGCACAGCGGUGGGAGCAUGUGAUUAAACGAGCCCCGCGAGAUGGAUCGACCCUUGAMAUUCUYUGAAGGCC
Molecule: ribosomal RNA, 967 nt
Filed under: Bacillus cereus
Lineage: Bacteria; Bacillati; Bacillota; Bacilli; Caryophanales; Bacillaceae
Description: bacterial SSU rRNA
Rfam family: Bacterial small subunit ribosomal RNA
Source: RNAcentral